Molecule: long non-coding RNA, 231 nt
Organism: Gorilla gorilla gorilla (western lowland gorilla)
Lineage: Eukaryota; Metazoa; Chordata; Mammalia; Primates; Hominidae
Exons: 3
Source: RefSeq, a predicted model, not a curated record
GUUAGCCUGUGUUCACAGAAAGCCAACGGGCUGGAGAGUUAAUGUCCCCAAAGCAUCCCCCAAAGUCCUGAUGGAAAAGAAAGCAUCCUGGUCCUCUCUGCUGUUAUUGGGUGCACAAUUCCACUGUUCUCUGCAUUUGGUAGAAUGCAGACAUCCAGGUCAUCGCUAUAGCAACUCUUCACAAAACUAGAAAAGAAAGACAAACCCACUGCCAGAUAAACUAAGUAACAG